Trichomycterus rosablanca is the source of this 573-nucleotide non-coding RNA. NCBI's taxonomy places the organism in Eukaryota, Metazoa, Chordata, Actinopteri, Siluriformes, Trichomycteridae. The record is from the annotation of a RefSeq genome assembly.
AUGUUCUCAUCAUCAGUGCUGCUCCUGCUUACAGCUGCAAUCUGUGGUGUUGAGAGUGUGGAGCUCACCCAGCCGGCCUCUGUGAUUGUGAGGCCUGGAGAACAGUUCUCCAUCUCCUGUAAGACCUCUGAGUCUGGCUAUUGUGUACACUGGAUACGCCAACCUGCCGGGAAAGCUCUGGAAUGGCUCGGGUAUCUGUGUAGUGGUGGUAGCACUAACAUUAAGGACACGGUGAAAAACAAGAUCAGUUUCAGCCAGGACAAAACCAUCAGCACCGUUUAUUUACGAGGACAAAACUUUCAGCCGGAGGACGCAGCUGUGUUUUACUGCGCCAGAGACACAGCAGCACAAACACAGAGGAGUCCUAUCUCACAACUGAACCACAGAACCACCAGACAGUCUGAUUAUGGAGCUCAGAGUCCAGUGAGGAGUGAUGAGAUCCGACUGGACCAGCCUCCUACAGAGGUCAAGAAACCUGGAGAACAUCUGAAGAUCUCCUGUAAAAUUACUGGUUUUAAAAUGACAGGAUCCUGCAGAAACCAGGAAAAGCUCUUGAAUGGAUUGGCAGGAUGA